GCAGAAGAGCUUAGCCGAGAGUCUGGGCUGUGUGAUCUCCUGAGGUCCUGAACCCUGCUGAGCCUCAGUUUCCACAUCCAUAAAUGGCAGCACUGCUAUCAGCAGCCUCACGGGAUGGUCUGUGGAUCGCGUGGGCCACACACGGGCUCUUGCUGUGGGCCCAGCAGAGGCAGACUCUGUGGGCGGUACCUGUUGUCCAUGCCUGACUCGCUGAGGACUCGUGUCUGGCUGAGCCGGGCAGCCAGCUGAGAAGCAUGGGUCCCGGUCCCCCCACUCCAAACAGGUGGAGCAGAAGGAGCCCAGCUGCGACCUGGGGUUUGUGGGCAGACACGUGCCCCAGAGAGGACCCACAAUGGAAGAUGACAUGACCAGAAGAAUAAAGAGCACCUGUAGCAGUCAUCCUCGUUCUAGAGUGUGGGACUAACGCAGAACUCCAGCUGGGAACCGCUGUGGCCCAGACCCUGGGAGGCCUUCUUGAUGCCCGUCUUUCUCUUACCAUCCAGUCUAUGGACCUCCUGAUGGCUCGGCCUCCAACAGG
Molossus molossus (Pallas's mastiff bat) is the source of this 538-nucleotide long non-coding RNA. RefSeq lists it as uncharacterized. The record is from RefSeq and is a predicted model, not a curated record. The transcript is spliced from 3 exons. NCBI's taxonomy places the organism in Eukaryota, Metazoa, Chordata, Mammalia, Chiroptera, Molossidae.